AUUGAACGCUGGCGGCAGGCCUAACACAUGCAAGUCGAACGGUAACAGGAAGCAGCUUGCUGCUUCGCUGACGAGUGGCGGACGGGUGAGUAAUGUCUGGGAAACUGCCUGAUGGAGGGGGAUAACUACUGGAAACGGUAGCUAAUACCGCAUAACGUCGCAAGACCAAAGAGGGGGACCUUCGGGCCUCUUGCCAUCGGAUGUGCCCAGAUGGGAUUAGCUAGUAGGUGGGGUAACGGCUCACCUAGGCGACGAUCCCUAGCUGGUCUGAGAGGAUGACCAGCCACACUGGAACUGAGACACGGUCCAGACUCCUACGGGAGGCAGCAGUGGGGAAUAUUGCACAAUGGGCGCAAGCCUGAUGCAGCCAUGCCGCGUGUAUGAAGAAGGCCUUCGGGUUGUAAAGUACUUUCAGCGGGGAGGAAGGUGUUGAGGUUAAUAACCUCAGCAAUUGACGUUACCCGCAGAAGAAGCACCGGCUAACUCCGUGCCAGCCGCCGCCGUAACAC
This 509-nucleotide ribosomal RNA is filed under the name uncultured bacterium. RNAcentral describes it as "bacterial SSU rRNA". It matches the Rfam family "Bacterial small subunit ribosomal RNA", at positions 30 to 526 of the family's 1533-position model. The record is from RNAcentral.